GGAGGAAAAGAAACUAACAAGGAUUCCCCUAGUAACUGCGAGUGAAGAGGGAAAAGCUCAAAUUUAAAAUCUGAUAGUCUCUGGCUGUCCGAGUUGUAAUUUAGAGAAGUGUUACCCGUGCUGGACCGUGUAUAAGUCUCCUGGAAUGGAGCGUCAUAGAGGGUGAGAAUCCCGUCUUUGACACGGACUCCCAGUGCAUUGUGGUGCGCUCUCGAAGAGUCGAGUUGUUUGGGAAUGCAGCUCUAAAUGGGUGGUAAAUUCCAUCUAAAGCUAAAUAUUGGCGAGAGACCGAUAGCGAACAAGUACCGUGAGGGAAAGAUGAAAAGAACUUUGGAAAGAGAGUUAAACAGUACGUGAAAUUGCUGAAAGGGAAACGCUUGAAGUCAGUCGCGUUGGCUAGGGAUCAACCUUGCUUUAGUGAGGCGUACUUCCUAGUUGACGGGUCAGCAUCAGUUUCGAUCACUGGAAAAAGGCUUGGGGAAUGUGGCAUCUCCGGAUGUGUUAUAGCCCCUUGUCGUAUACAGUGGUUGGGACUGAGGAACUCAGCACGCCGCAAGGCCGGGUUUCGACCACGUUCGUGCUUAGGAUGCUGGCAUAAUGGCUUUAAGCGACCCGUCUUG
Molecule: ribosomal RNA, 620 nt
Filed under: Paramarasmius palmivorus
Lineage: Eukaryota; Fungi; Basidiomycota; Agaricomycetes; Agaricales; Marasmiaceae
Description: Marasmius palmivorus partial large subunit ribosomal RNA
Rfam family: Eukaryotic large subunit ribosomal RNA
Source: RNAcentral